Molecule: long non-coding RNA, 747 nt
Organism: Oxyura jamaicensis (ruddy duck)
Lineage: Eukaryota; Metazoa; Chordata; Aves; Anseriformes; Anatidae
Exons: 3
Source: RefSeq, a predicted model, not a curated record
AUGUGCUUUUAUAAGAGCUUCAAGAAAGUUGCCCAGUCUACCUUAUUUCUGUAAAAUUAAGUGACAGUUUUGUCCCAGAUACGUAUCUGAGCCUCCAUAGCUCUAGAUUCUUUGGUUCUCAUGUUUCAUGAUAUUAACAUGUGUUUGUAUCUGAUGAUUGUGGUAGAGUUUCUUCAACAGAUCAAGAAAACAAAAUUAGAUGGAGAUAAUUAAAAGCCCUUUUCCCUUGCUUAUUGGAGAACAAUAUUCCACUAAUUCUUUCUUCCUAACCAAGCUGUCUCUUUUCGUUUAGAAAAAUGUAAGAAGCCUCUUUUGGAAAAUGGCUUUUUUUAUGGUACAGAAAUUUCCUUCAAAAUACAUGAGAAACUGCGGUACAAAUGUAAUCUAGGCUACCACACUCCAAAUGGUGGUACCGAGGAUACGGUACAAUGUCAAGCGGAUGGAUGGUCCUCACAGCCAAGCUGUACUAAAAAUUUUGAGUCAUGCCAAGUACCUGAUUUACAUCAUGGCUAUUACUUCACAACCCAGCAAGAGCUUCGAGUGAAUGAAACACUGCUAUAUAAAUGCGAUGAGGGAUAUCAUACUGCAGGAGGAAACACUACAGAAGAAGCAAGGUGCCUAGCACAUGGGUGGUCCCUUACUCCAAACUGCACUAAAAUAACUUGCUACCCUUUGAGUGGAAUAGAACAUGGAGGUUUCUAUCCUGUGAAGAAAACCUAUGAAGAGGGAGAUGUUGUUCAUUUUUUC